This 584-nucleotide ribosomal RNA is filed under the name Enterobacter asburiae. RNAcentral's name for it is "partial 23S ribosomal RNA". It matches the Rfam family "Bacterial large subunit ribosomal RNA", at positions 609 to 1194 of the family's 2925-position model. The record is from RNAcentral. Lineage: Bacteria; Pseudomonadati; Pseudomonadota; Gammaproteobacteria; Enterobacterales; Enterobacteriaceae.
UGUAUAAUGGGUCAGCGACUUAUAUUCUGUAGCAAGGUUAACCGUAUAGGGGAGCCGAAGGGAAACCGAGUCUUAACUGGGCGUUAAGUUGCAGGGUAUAGACCCGAAACCCGGUGAUCUAGCCAUGGGCAGGUUGAAGGUUGGGUAACACUAACUGGAGGACCGAACCGACUAAUGUUGAAAAAUUAGCGGAUGACUUGUGGCUGGGGGUGAAAGGCCAAUCAAACCGGGAGAUAGCUGGUUCUCCCCGAAAGCUAUUUAGGUAGCGCCUCGUGAACUCAUCUUCGGGGGUAGAGCACUGUUUCGGCUAGGGGGCCAUCCCGGCUUACCAACCCGAUGCAAACUACGAAUACCGAAGAAUGUUAUCACGGGAGACACACGGCGGGUGCUAACGUCCGUCGUGAAGAGGGAAACAACCCAGACCGCCAGCUAAGGUCCCAAAGUCAUGGUUAAGUGGGAAACGAUGUGGGAAGGCACAGACAGCCAGGAUGUUGGCUUAGAAGCAGCCAUCAUUUAAAGAAAGCGUAAUAGCUCACUGGUCGAGUCGGCCUGCGCGGAAGAUGUAACGGGGCUAAACCAUGCAC